CCUACGGGUGGCAGCAGUGGGGAAUAUUGCACAAUGGGGGAAACCCUGAUGCAGCGACGCCGCGUGAAGGAAGAAGGAGUGCGGGAUGUAAACUUCUAUCAGCAGGGAAGAAAAUGACGGUACCUGACUAAGAAGCCACGGCUAACUACGUGCCAGCAGCCGCGGUAAUACGAAGGGGGCAAGCGUUAUCCGGAUUUACUGGGUGUCAAGGGAGCGUAGGCGGUUUAGCAAGUCAGAAGUGAAAGCCCGGGGCUCCGCUCCGGGACUGCUUUUGAAACUGUUGAACUAGAUUGCAGGAGAGGUCAGUGGAAUUCCUAGUGUAGCGGUGACAUGCGUAGAUAUUAGGCGGAACACCCGUGGCGCCGGCGUCUUACUGGACUGUAACUGCCGCUGCGGCUCGACAGCGUG
This 408-nucleotide ribosomal RNA is filed under the name uncultured bacterium. Its description in RNAcentral is "partial 16S ribosomal RNA". It matches the Rfam family "Bacterial small subunit ribosomal RNA", at positions 338 to 763 of the family's 1533-position model. The record is from RNAcentral.